GACGAACGCUGGCGGCGUGCUUAACACAUGCAAGUCGAACGGAAAGGCCCUGCUUGCAGGGUAUUCGAGUGGCGAACGGGUGAGUAACACGUGGGUGAUCUGCCCUGCACUUCGGGAUAAGCCUGGGAAACUGGGUCUAAUACCGGAUAGGAGCCAUUUUUAGUGUGAUGGUUGGAAAGUUUUUUCGGUGUAGGAUGAGCUCGCGGCCUAUCAGCUUGUUGGUGGGGUAAUGGCCUACCAAGGCGGCGACGGGUAGCCGGCCUGAGAGGGUGGACGGCCACAUUGGGGCUGAGAUACGGCCCAGACUCCUACGGGAGGCAGCAGUGGGGAAUAUUGCACAAUGGGCGCAAGCCUGAUGCAGCGACGCCGCGUGGGGGAUGACUGCCUUCGGGUUGUAAACUCCUUUCGCUAGGGACGAAGCUUUUUGUGACGGUACCUAGAUAAGAAGCACCGGCUAACUACGUG
Molecule: ribosomal RNA, 465 nt
Filed under: uncultured bacterium
Lineage: Bacteria
Description: partial 16S ribosomal RNA
Rfam family: Bacterial small subunit ribosomal RNA
Source: RNAcentral